RNAcentral lists this long non-coding RNA (10095 nucleotides) under Triticum aestivum (bread wheat). RNAcentral describes it as "long non-coding RNA (TAES_LNC007003)". The record is from RNAcentral. Lineage: Eukaryota; Viridiplantae; Streptophyta; Magnoliopsida; Poales; Poaceae.
CUAGUUUUGGUUUCUUUUACCGUUUGCCUUCUCGUAAUUUUGGAGUAUUUUUCACAUUCUGUCUAGAUAGAGAAAUGACCUGGAGGAAAAAAAAAUCCAUGGUGGGUAUCUUUUCUAGACUUCUUUUUUCUGUUAGUAGCAGGUAGUGUAUGUAAGAUUUGAGUGUUUCUGGAAGUUUAUAUACACUAUAAGUCGAAAAUAGUAGAUGACCAUUUGGGCCAUUUUGCCUACUCCUACUUGCUCGAAUAUGCUAACGCUAUGUUUGACCCAUAUUUUACUCCCUCCGUACCAAAGUACUUGUCGCCAACAGACAAAAAUUAGUACACAAAGUUAAUUUUACAUUCAGACCCUCCAGAUUUCAAAAAGUUCUCAGGCCGCACCCUCCGCCUCCCCCAGCUCUGCCUCCCCAUAGCGCGAUGCCUUUGCCUCCCUACCGGGCUGCUGCGCUCCAGGCCGUGAACCAGGCUGCUGCGCUCCAGGCCGUGAACCAGGCGCCGGCGAGCAGGCAGGCCGCGAUCCAGUGUACUAGAUCCACGCCGGCGCUCUUCUGCUGAGGAGGAUGCAUAUCAUGAUCUUGAGUUAAAUCAAGAAGAGGAUGCACAUGUUGAUGCAAAUGAAGAUCAUGAUCAUGAGUUAAAUCAAGAAGAGGAAGAUACAUUUGUCAAAAAGAAGAAGAAGAGGAAGAUGCACAUGCACAUGUUGAUGCAAAUCAAGAUCAUGCAGGCAACUUGAGUACACAACCAGAGAUUUUUUUUUCUCUUUGAAAUGGCAGUUAUCCUGUAUUCAGUAAGAAGAAAAGAGUUGCUCGGCUAAUUUCGGAAAACCGAGCAAAAAACAGAUUGCCAGUUAAUUAUGGAGAACCGGACAAAAACCAUCACAACCAUUGAUCAGUACACAUAAGAUACCCCCCACACACCACUCGAGAGAGGGUCUCGUCAAGACAGCACACAUGCAUCAUCGUCAUCACUCCUCCCCUAGAUUUGUGAACUUGCUCCAUGUGUUGCAGGUGUUGAUCAGCCAAUAAGAAGAGAACUGCCAUAUGAUCAUAGAUUUGUGCUUACGUCGCUGGAAGCACUGACCAAAGAUAGAGAAAUUGAGAAAAAGGACAAAGAGCUUGUUGCUAACCUUUUGCAUACAAGUCUUGGAACUGUUGAGAGAAUAUGGAAACAAGCACAUGAUCAGAUUGCAAAAGGUCAAGAAGCCGACGUUUCUAACAUAAAAAAGAGUAGGUCACAAGGUCUAGGAUGUCUAUAAUCCCGCUAAAUAGAUGAAGACACUCGGAGCUCUUUCUAGGUCUCCGGAUGUUAGCUGCAUAACAUUGCACACAAUGUUCAAGUGGGGCAAGCUAAAGCAUCACACGAGCAGCUUUAAAGUCUUUACUCAAGCCAGCUAACAAGAUAGCCACACUCAAGAUUUGCAUUUUCAUGUUGGAUGAAACAACAUUGGAAAAUGUCAGGUCUAGCUUGACAUGAGCAGGAUUGUACACAUUGAUGAGAAGUGGUUUGAUAUGUCAAAAAGAAAGUGCACCUAUUAUCUCCUUUCUGAACAAGAAGGCCCUUUGUGGAUUGUUCAAAAUAAGAACAAUAUAGGGAAGGUCAUGUUCCUAACAACAAUUGUCAAACCCACAUAUGGUGAAGAUGGUUUUAUAAUCUUUGAUUGUAAAAGUUAGAGUUUGGGCCUUUGUGAAAGAAACUCGAGAUGCUUGAAGAAGUCAAUAAGGGAAAGGGGUCUUUGGAACUCAAGUCAGCUACUAAUAUACAUCUCAAAUGUAUCUAUAAUUUUUUAUUUCUUCAUGCUAUUAUAAUAUCACUUUCGAAUAUUUUUAUAGUAAUUUUUCUGGACUAACCUAUUAAUUCAGUGCACAUUGUCAGUUGUUGUUUUCUGCAUGUUUUCAUCUUUUCAGAAAAUCCAUAUCUACGGUGGUUAAAAAAACCAGGGAUUUAAUAUGACUUUUUCCAAGACACGAAGAGUCUAGAAAGUGUCGAAAGCUGCCGAGGGGCCCACCCGCGUGGUUAGGCCGUGUGGGCCCCAUGGGCACCGCCUUACGUUGUUUCUUCCACCCAUAAAUCCUACUCCCUCCGCCCCUCAACUUUAGUACAACUGCUGGGGAACGCGGUAAUUUCAAAAAAAAUUCCUACGAUCACGCAAGAUCUAUCUAGGUGAUGCAUAGCAACGAGGGGGAGAGUGUGUCCACAUACCCUCGUAGACCAAAAGCGGAAGCGUUAAGUAACGCGGUUGAUGUAGUCGAACGUCUUCGCGAUCCAACCGAACGCACGACACCUCCGCGAUCUGCACACGUUCAGCUCGGUGACGUCCCUCGAACUCUAGAUCCAGCUGAGGCCGAGGGAGAGUUCCGUCAGCACAACGGCUUGAUGACGAUGAUGAUGAAGUUACCGGCGCAGGGCUUCGCCUAAGCACUACGACGAUAUAACCGAGGUGGAAAUCUGUGGAGGGGGGCACCGCACACGGCUAAAAGAUCAACCUCAUCAACUUGUGUAUCUAUGGGGUGUCCCCCUCCCCCGUAUAUAAAGGAGGAGAGGAGGGGGCCGGCCGGCCUCAAGGGGUGCGCCCAAGGGGGGGAGUCCUACUCCAAGUAGGAGUAGGUUCCCCCCUUUCCUAGUCCAACUAGGAGGAGAAGGAAGGGGAAGGAGAGAAGGAAAGGGGGGCCGCCCCCCCUAGUCCAAUUCAGUUUGGGCUGGGGCGCGCCACACCUUGGCCUGGCUCCUCUCUUCCACCACUUGGCCCAUGAGGCCCAUUAACCCCCCGGGGGGUUCUGGUAACCCUCCGGUACUCCGGUUUUAUCCGAAACUUCUCCGGAACACUUCCGGUGUCCGAAUAUAGCCGUCCAAUAUAUCAAUCUUUAUGUCUCAACCAUUUCGAGACUCCUCGUCAUGUCCGUGAUCUCAUCCGGGACUCCGAACAACCUUCUGUACAUCAAAUCACAUAAACUCAUAAUACCAAUCGUCAUCGAACGUUAAGCGUGCGGACCCUACAGGUUCAAGAACUAUGUAGACAUGACCGAGACACGUGUCUGGUCAAUAACCAAUAGCGGAACCUAGAUGCUCAUAUUGGUUCCUACAUAUUCUAUGAAGAUCUUUAUCGGUCAAACCGCAUAACAACAUACGUUGUUCCCUUUGUCAUCGGUAUGUUACUUGACCAAGACUCGAUCGUCGGUAUCAUCAUACCUAGUUCAAUCUCGUUACCGGCAAGUCUCUUUACUCGUUCCGUAAUACUCCAUCCUGCAACUAACUCAUUAGUCACAAUGAUUGCAAGGCUUAUAGUGAUGAGUAUUACCGAGAGGGCCCAGAGAUACCUCUCCGAAACACGAAGUGACAAAUCCUAAUCUCGAUCUAUGCCAACCCAACAAACACCUUCGGAGACACCUGUAGAGCACCUUUAUAAUCACCCAUUUAUGUUGUGACGUCUGGUAGCACACAAAGUGUUCCUCCGGUAUUCGGGAGUUGCAUAAUCUCAUAGUCUGAGGAACUUGUAUAAGUCAUGAACAAAGCAGUAGCAAUGAAACUGACAUGAUCAUAAUGCUAAGCUAACGGAUGGGUCAUGUCCAUCACAUCAUUCUCCUAAUGAUGUGAUCCCAUUCAUCAAAUGACAACACAUGUAUAUGGUUAGGAAACAUAACCAUCUUUGAUUAAUGAGCUAGUCAAGUAGAGGCAUACUAGGGACAAUAUGUUUUGUCUAUGUAUUCACACAUGUAAGCAUGAAUAAUAAACAUUUAUCAUGAAAUAAGGAAAUAAAUAAUAACUUUAUUAUUGCCUCUAGGGCAUAUUUCCUUCAACAACUUUGUAUUAAAGUGAGUACAAAGUUGAGGCACUUAUUUUUGGACGAAGGGAGUAUAUUUCAAGAAACCCUUAGCAACAUUUUUUUCAUGAUUUCUUCUGCCAUCGCAAGUUUUCGUUCUGAGGAAAUCCAACCUGGAGACCUAUUCCAGCACCCUGCCGUAGGUGGAAUCCAUCAUCAGAGCCAUCUUCAUGAACCUUGUUGGUUCAUGUGUGAAUAGUUUCCUUAGUACCUUAAGGUCCAUGUAAGUAGCUAGAUGACUAUCACGCCCAAUAUGCGACCCUAUCCAAAAGGAACUCGAAGGUCCCACCAAGGAUAGACCCGCAUAUUGAGACACUUUUGCAAGGUGGAUAUCAUUACAUCAACAUUACAUAAUAGAUGGGGAUACAUACAUAAGGCAUACAAUGCCGCACGAAUACAACAUCAUAAUACAUCAGAGCACCAUCCGACUACGAAUGAAACACAAACAGAAACUCAAACGACAUCCACCCUGCUAGCCCAGGCUGCCGACCUGGAACCUAUCCCCUGAUCGAAGAAGAAGCAGAAGAACUCCAAAACAAGUAAGCAUCGCUCUCGCGUCAUGAUCAUCGCACAACCUGUACCUGCAACUGUUGUUGUAGUAAUCUGUGAGCCACGAGGACUCAGCAAUCCCAUUACCAUGGGUAUCAAGACUAGCAAAGCUUAAUGGGAAAGGAAGGGGUAAAGUGGUGAGGUUGCAGCAGCGACUAAGCAUAUAUGGUGGCUAACAUACGCAAAAGAGAGCGAGAAGAGAAACAAGCGGAACGGUCGUCAACUAGUAAUGAUCAAGAGGUGAUCCUGAACUCCUACUUACGUCAAUCAUAACACAGAAAACCGUGUUCACUUCCCGGACUCCGCCGAGAAGAGACCAUCACGGCUACACACACAAUUGAUGCGUUUUAAUUCGGAUCUGGUGUCAAGUUAUGUACAACCGGACAUUAACAAAUUCCCAUCUGCCACAUAACCGCGGGCACGGCUCUCGAAAGUUUAUACCCUGCAGGGGUGUCCCAACUUAGCCCAUGACAAGUUCUCGCGAUCAACGAAGGAAUAGACCUUCUCCCAGGCAGACCCGAUCAGUCUCGGAAUCCCGGUUUACAAGACAUUUCGACAAUGGUAAAACAAGACCAGCAAGACCGCCCGAUGCGCCGACAUCCCGAUAGGAGCUGCACAUAUCUCGUUCUCGGGGCAACACCGGAUAAGCUAAGCGUACAGGUACCGACGUAACCCAAGUUGCCAAGGGAUGGUCCCGCACGGUGCUCUAGUUUGGACCAACACUUAGACAAGCAUUGGCCCGGGGGGCUAUAAUAAAGAUGACCCUUGGGUUAAUUACUCCCAAGAGAAAAGUAGGUGGUGGUGAGGCAAAUGGUAAAACCAAGGUUGGGCCUUGCUGGAGGAGUUUUAUUCAAAGCGAACUGUCAGGGGGGUCCCAUAAAUCACCCGACCGCGUUAGGAACGCAAAAUCCGGGAACAUAACACCGGUAUGACGGAAACUAGGGCGGCAAGAGUGGAACAAAACACCAGGCAUAAGGCCGAGCCUUCCACCCUUUACCAAAUAUAUAGAUGCAUUAAUAAUAUAAGAGAUAUUGUGAUAUCCCAACAUAACCCUGUCCACCAUGGAGAAAUCUUCAACUUCACCUGCAGCUAGCAACGCUAUAAGAGGGGCUGAGCAAAGCGGGAACAUAGCCAAACAACGGUUUGCUAGGAAGGGUGUCAAAGGUUAGAGGUUCAUAGCAAUUUGGGGAGGCUUGAAGAGCAAAAGAUAGGUAGCGCAGCACAGCGAUAGAACGAAGCAACUAGCAUCGCAAUGAUAGUAGUGAGAUCCAGGGUAGCGGUCAUCUUGCCUGAAAUCCCGCAAGGAAGAAGAACGAGUCCAUGAAGAAGACGAACGGAUGAAGCCGAACCAACCGUAGACGAACGAAUCCUCACGAUCGCAACGAAACAGGAACUAACAAGAAGAAGCACACAACAUGGUAAACACACCACACAUGAACAAGGCAUGAUGCACAACAAGCAUGAUGCAUGACCAAGCUACAUGAAGCUACUCAUGGCAAGAGAUGAUGCAAACAAGAACAACACGUCAAGGCAAGUUUAAAUGAGGCCGGAAACAACAUAUAACAAUUCCGGUAAGUCCUCAUAUGCAUAUUUCAAAAUUGGUCCAGAACUGAAUAAACAUUAAGUUGAAGUUGUUAAACAGUAAGUUAAAGAGCACCAAGAGGAUCUACACAAAAUUCUAGUCAAGUUACAUAUAAAGUUCAUUUAAUUCGGAGCUACGGCCUAGAAGAUAUGAGCAAAACAAGUCAAACAUGGCAUUGAUGCAAAAUGCAUACAAACAUCAAACAAACACCUCAAAACAAGGAUGCAACAUGAUAAUAUGGAACUACAUGCAAUUCUAAGCAAGUUUCAUAUAGAGCACACUCAAAACGGAGCAACGGUUCAACAAUCUGUCCAAAACAGCAACUAGGCAUAUUGCAAGCACCAAAACAACAAGCUACAACAUCUCAACAUAAUAACAAAAGGCACGGGCAUGAAGUACAGGUAAAGCAUAACAAAACAUGAACACUGAGCUACCUCCAGAAACAACUAGAACAUGCUCAAAAAGACAUGGAAAGUUUGCAAAUAAUAACAGUUUCAGACUUAUCAGGAAAUAACAUCAGGUUGCAAUGUUUAGAGCUAUCAAACAACAUGUUACAGGAACUUAUCAUGGAAAACAAAGGCAUGGCAUGAAUCUACUAAUUGCAUAGAACAAAAGUCCCUUACUGACCAUGAGCCAAAAAGGACCAGAAAAUAUGAUGGCACCCAUGUAAACAUGGCAAGUUAUAUUACAGAUUCAAACAUGGCAGGAACAACAAUAAGUAGGCAUGUUGGUGAGCUUGAACCACUCACCACAGAGCAAUACAUGGCAUGUCAAGGCAACCAACAGCAAGAAGGCAUGUUUAUGAAGCUAAGCAUGGCAAGAUCAAGGUCAUAGGGUGCAUGGAUCACUAGAAAAGCAUAUGGCCAAAACUGAACUUAAUGUAAACAGGCUGACAGCAACAUUAUUUAGCAACUUUGGAGCAAGAUUACAAUAAGCUACAGUAGUCUAUAAAUGCAACCAGGGGCAUGAAUGGAUAGAGCAAGACAUGUAUAACAAUUCAUCCUUAGUGAACAUCUCCAGAUUAUGCAUAGAAUAACUUGUGGAAGCAGGUUUACAUAGCAUCAAAACAUAACAGAAUCUGACAGGAAAACAACAACAGCAAGUACUCUCCUUAACAAGCUUGAUGCACUCACUACACAAGUCACAAAAAUACAUGGAUUGCACCUCUGAAAAGAUGGCAUUGCAUAGAUCAAAACACAUUUAGAUCUCAACCUCAUAGGAUGCACACAUCAAACAUGGCAAAAAUGACAAAUGAGCAUGUUAUAACAGUUCCAGCAGAUUAACAUCAACAUGCACUCUUCCAACAGCAUUUCGGGCAUCAAGAUGAGCUCAAAUGAAAAUGAUGAAAUGAGAUGAAAUGAAGUACUCGUUGAGACGAACAAUUUGACAUAUCACACGCACGGAACGGAGCUACAAGUGCAGAGAUGUGAUGCGAUGAACAUGGCAUGCUUAUGCAAAAAUCCUGAGCACUUAGUGGAAUUCGGGGUCAACCUCGUGGAUCCAGAUCUGGGCGCGGAUCGAGGCGGGGCCGGGCUCGCCGGAGCUGGGCGGCGCCGGCGACGAGGGAGGAGGCCGGAGAGGGCACCGGUGGCCGGGGUCGGGGCNNNNNNNNNNNNNNNNNNNNNNNNNNNNNNNNNNNNNNNNNNNNNNNNNNNNNNNNNNNNNNNNNNNNNNNNNNNNNNNNNNNNNNNNNNNNNNNNNNNNNNNNNNNNNNNNNNNNNNNNNNNNNNNNNNNNNNNNNNNNNNNNNNNNNNNNNNNNNNNNNNNNNNNNNNNNNNNNNNNNNNNNNNNNNNNNNNNNNNNNNNNNNNNNNNNNNNNNNNNNNNNNNNNNNNNNNNNNNNNNNNNNNNNNNNNNNNNNNNNNNNNNNNNNNNNNNNNNNNNNNNNNNNNNGGAGGAGGAGAGAGACGGCGGCGGCCACGUGGCAGCGUGCCACUGGCUGCGGGCGGCUGCGGGGUGACGUGGCGUCCUCCGAUUCGUCGGAGCGACGUGGCGGCGGCGGUGGACACGUCCGGUGCGGAGGCGGACAUGUCCGGCGGCGGCGGGGAAGAGGCUAGGCUAGGGUUUCAUCCGCGAAAAUGGAAGGGGAGGGCCUAUUUAUAGGUAGAGGGAGUUAGGAGAGUCCAAAUGAGGUGCGGUUUUCGGCCACGCGAUCGUAAUCGGACGACCGAGAGCAUGGAGGGGAGUUAGAUGGGUUUUGGGCCAGUUUGGAAGGGGUGUUGGGCUGCAACAAAAGAGGCCUUUUACGGUUACCCGGUUGACCGUUAGAGUAUCAAACGGACUCCAAAUGGCACGAAACUUGACAGGCGGUCUACCGGUGCUAUACCAAGGCCGCUUGGAAAACCUCGGGCCAUUCCGAGAACGUUUAACACCCACACAAGAUAAGAGGUCAAAAGGGACCGCCGGAUGACAUAGGAGUGCCGGAUUGCAAAACGGACAACGGGGAAAAUGCUCGGAUGCAUGAGACGAACACGUAUGCAAUGCAAUGCACAUGAUGACAUGAUAUGAAAUGCAGAUGAUGACAUGGCAAAGUGCAACACGCAAGCACAUGACACGACAAUGACGGCGAAUAACUGGAAGACACCUGGCGCAUCGAAUCCGGGGCGUUACAACACUCCUCCACUAACAAGAGAUCUCGUCCCGAGAUCUUAGGACCAAGACGGAAGGGAAAAGAGAUGAGGCGAAACAAGAACUCAAGAGAAGAAGCAAAGAAUCGAGAGCACUUGAGAAGAAGAGAUGAACGACGAGAAUGACGAGAAUCAAGAGCUCACGGAAUCAGAUAGACUAUGAAACCAGUCGUUCUAACCGGAGUGGUUAGAAUGAGAAAAGAAACGAAUAAGACUGAAAGGAUUUAGGCAGCACUCCAGCUGAAAAUGGGAGGAUUAGAACGAACUUUAGAGGAUGGAAUGAUACUUGAUGAAGACAUGACAAAAAACCUCCGGAAAGAAUUGAAAGAGUUGAAUGAAAAGAACGGAGAAGAAAAUGACAACUUGUGCCACGAAUGAAAUUGAAAGCAUCUUUAGAAGAAAGGUUGAACGGAGUUGUUGAGAAAAACAACAACGAAAAGAAUAAGCUUGUUGUGGACUUAUGGAUAACAUCUCAAAAUUAUGAAGUGAUCUCCGACCACAAGCGGAAAAGAUUAAAUAGCUGAGAAGAAUGUAGAAAUGCAAAACCCCACCUCGAAAGAAUACGGAGAAUUAAUUGCACUUCAAGAUGCAAGAGGAAAAGAUACUAGAACUCCUUGAACAAGAAUCUUGAUGAACUCUUGAAAGAAUGAAUUAAAUCAUGAAGAACUCCGGUGACAAAAGGAUGAUGAGAUAGAAUGAAGGAUGAAAGAAUAAGAUGAGCUUUGCGAUGAUUUAGAUGAAGGUUCCGACGAAAUGGUCGAGGAAAUUUGAACUCCGGAGAAGAAAAGAUGAAAAUACUUGGAACUAGAAUUUAUUCCUCAAGAACAAACUCCGAAGAAAAGGGAUUACUCACUUGGAUGAAAUAAGAAUAAGAUUUAUUGUAUGUUUAUCCUUCAUCAAAUUAAAUUGAUGACAAGCAAUGGAUUUUCCAUACUACUUAUUCUUCUUGAAAAGGAUUGAGAAGUGACAUAUCGUAAACUUGAGAAGGUCUUCAUGAAUCACCGGUAGGAUUGAAAAGAACGAAUGGAUUAAAAAUGAUAAUCAAGGAAUAAGAAUCUUGAACGAACCACCGGAAGAAUUCGAAAAUGACUGAUGAAAGAGGAAUGAAUCGCCGGGAAGAAUUAGAAGAACCAAUAUGCUCGAGGGGAUUUAGAUGCAAAAGAACAAAGAGAUCAUGAGCUGAUUAAAGAACACUUGAACGAAGCACCGGCAGAAUAUUGAGACGAACAAAAGGGCACAGAUAUAGAAUAAUUGGAGAACGAAUCUGAAAACUUAGAAUGAAGAAAUCUUCCGAAAAGAUGGCCUCCGGAUGAUCGAGAGAGAAAGCAACUCCUGAAAUGCUCCGGAUGGUUGAAAAGAAUUUGCAUGACUUGAAACAAUUUGAUAGGAUAACAUCGAGCUAGCGCCACGAAUCUUCGAGAGAAGAAACAAGCUUUAGAGGAGAAACUCUUCUUCGGUCUUCGAAUGACGACGAGAAACACCGCCAAAAUUACUGAGAUACUCCGGGAGAACAAAAAAAAAA